CUACGGGCCGCAGCAGUGGGGAAUUUUGGACAAUGGAGGAAACUCUGAUCCAGGGAUACCGCGUGGGUGAUGAAGAUUUACGGAUUGUAAAGCCCUUUUAGUAGGGAAAAUAAUGAUGGUACCUACAGAAAAAGCAUCAGCUAACUCUGUGCCAGCAGUUGCGGUAAUACAGAGGAUGCGAGUGUUAUUCGGAAUCACUGGGCGUAAAGGGCGCGUAGGCGGUUAUUUAAGUCCGCAAUGAAAGACCGGGGCUCAACUUCGGUGCUGUUGUGGAUACUGUAUAACUAGAGAACGGAAGAGGUGAAUAGAAUUCCUGGUGGAGGGGUGAAAUUCUUAGAUAUCAGGAGGAAUGCCAGAGGCGAAAGCGGUUCACUGGGACGUUUCUGACGCUGAGGCGCGAAAGCGUGGGGAUCAAACAGGAUUAGAUACCCCCGUAGUC
RNAcentral lists this ribosomal RNA (439 nucleotides) under uncultured bacterium. RNAcentral's name for it is "partial 16S ribosomal RNA". It matches the Rfam family "Bacterial small subunit ribosomal RNA", at positions 339 to 795 of the family's 1533-position model. The record is from RNAcentral.